GAAAUGCGAUACGUAGUGUGAAUUGCAGAAUUCAGUGAAUCAUCGAGACCUUGAACGCACCUUGCGCUUGUGGUCAACCACAAGCAUGCCUGUUUGAGUGUCGUCAAUAUUCUUGCCCUCUCCCCCUUUCAGGAAAAAAGAGAGAAGUCUCUUCUCCUUUUCCACUUUAGGCAGGGGAGGGGGCAGCAGUGAGCGCCUGUCGCCAAGCAACAGCCGCUUGAAAGUCAUCGAGGUGAACCAGCGUGCGCCCUUGCAGGCCCGCCAUCCCGUGGUCCCUCCGGUGUUUCUAACAUGCUCUGUCAUGAUUCUACACCAUUGAGACCCUCUUUGGGGCGGAUUUUUAGGACCUGUGGCCCCUAGUCCCCUUUUUUUUCCUAUACAUUUUUAAAACUGCGACCUC
RNAcentral lists this unclassified non-coding RNA (400 nucleotides) under uncultured fungus. RNAcentral describes it as "sequence contains ITS1". The stretch from base 1 to 103 matches the Rfam family "5.8S ribosomal RNA", at positions 50 to 154 of the family's 154-position model. The record is from RNAcentral. Lineage: Eukaryota; Fungi.